UCAACAUGGACCAGUAUCCCUGCUUUCAACACCUUGUAGAGUCAACAUGGACCAGUAUCCCUGCUUUCAACACCUUGUAGAGUCAACAUGGACCAGCAUCCCUGUGGAAGACUUUUGACAUCUUUUAGAGUCAACAUGGACCAGCAUCCCUGCUUUCAACACCUUGUAGAGUCAACAUGGACCAGCAUCCCUGUGGAAGACUUUUGACAUCUUUUAGAGUACAUGUCCUGACGAAUUGAGCGUGUUCUGAGGGCAAAAGUUUGAUGUAGUCAACAUUAGGAAGGUGUUCUUAAUAUUUAGUAUGCUCAGUAGUCCACAGGUGUUGUUAAUAUUUAGUAUGCUAGGUACUCAACAUUAGGAAGGUGUUCUUAAUAUUUUGUAUACUCAGUGUAUUUUAUGUGUUAUAGUCAUAUGAAGGGGAGAUAUGGUAUUCGUCCCAAACAGCACCCUUAUUUAUUUAACCUUUAUUUAACUAGGCAAGUCCGUUAAGAACAAAUUCUUAUUUUCAAUGACGGCCUAGGAACAGUGGGUUAACUGGUCUAGGAACAGUGGGUUAACUGGUCUAGGAACAGUGGGUUAACUGGUCUAGGAACAGUGGGAUAACUGGUCUAGGAACAGUGGGAUAACUGCCUGUUCAGGGGCAGAACGACAGAUUUGUACCUUGUCAGCUCUGGGAUUUGAACUUGCAACCUUCCGGUUACUAGUCCAACGCUCCACUAGGCUACCCUGCCGCCCCAACCCUAUUCCCUAUAUAGUGCACUAACUACUAGAGUACCAUUACGUUGAUUCUAACAACAUGAUCACGGUACUUGGUUUGCCUCUUGGUUUUAUGUUGAAACGUUAACAUGUUUUAUUUAUUUAUAAUGAUAUUGUUACUGGCUGCGUCCUGGUCCCAAAAUGGCACCCGUUAUUCUCUAUAUAGUGCACUACUUUAGACCAGAGCCCUAUAGAACCCUAUUCCCUAUAUAGUGCACUACUUUAGACCAGAGCCCUAUAGGACCCUAUUCCCUAUAUAGUGCACUACUUUAGACCAGAGCCCCUACGGUGCAUUCUGUAGGGAAUAGGGCUCGGUCAGGGAUACCGACUCGUUUUUAAAAAAAAAUCUUGAUUUUGUUUUGUUGACAGCGGAGUGGAAUGUAUAUAUGUGUACAGAGGAGGAAUCAUGUUUCAUGAUGCCGUUUACAUUUAUUAAUAUAUCGAUAUUUUACUGUGCAUCCGUCCCAAAUGGCACUCUUUUAUUCCCAAUUUAGUGCACUACUUUUAAAGGGAAUGGGAUGCCAUUUUGGACGUAUUGUGUGUUUCUCUGACUGUGAACUACAACUGUGUGUGUUUUCUAAAUGCUGCUGGCGACUACUGCAUUAUGUGGAAGUAAAAUAUUUUAAAUCUGGUAUUUAUUUGGUGUGAGGAGUAUGUGAAAUGAGGGCAUAUAUUUUAUAUUUUCCUAAAAAGGGAUACAAUUUUUUAAAAUGUUUUUUUACAUUUAGAGAUUUUAUCUACAUCCGGUAGGAAAACCCUGGUCCCGGAGUGCCUCAGCCAUUUCGUGUUUUAACGGACCUGUACAACCAGAAUAUUUUGUCAGUAGAGCUGUGGAACAUCCAGGUGCUCUUUUGCAAACUUCAGACGUACAGCCAUGUUUUUUUGGACAGCAGUGGCUUCUUCUAUGGUGUCCUCCCAUGAACACCAUUCUUGUUUAGUGUUCAGAAGGCUUCAAAUGUACGGUGAAUAAUAAAGUAAGAUUAUCCAUGGAUUCUAUCCGUGUAAUAGCUUCGAGGCAAGCAACACUGAUACAUGCAUGAGAGCACCAGCUAUUCUGGAAGACUGUGUGAUCACGCUCUCCGCAGCUGAUGUAAGACCUUUAAACAGGUCAACAUUCACAAGGCCGCAGGGCCAGACGGAUUACCAGGGCGUGUACUCCGAGCAUGCACUGACCAACUGGCAAGUGUCUUCACUGACAUUUUCAACCUCUCACUGUCCGAAUCUGUAAUACCAACAUGUUUUAAGCAGACCACCAUAGUCCCUAUGCCCAAGAACACUAAGGUAACCUGCCUAAAUGACUACCGACCCGUAGCACUCACGUCUGUAGCCAUGAAGUGCCUCCACAUGCUGGUCAUGGCUCACAUCAACACCAUCAUCCCAGAAACCCUAGACCCACUCAAAUUUGCAUACCGCCCCAACAGAUCCACAGAUGAUGCAAUCUCUAUU
Long non-coding RNA from Oncorhynchus tshawytscha (Chinook salmon), 2202 nucleotides. NCBI's taxonomy places the organism in Eukaryota, Metazoa, Chordata, Actinopteri, Salmoniformes, Salmonidae. The record is from Ensembl.